RNAcentral lists this unclassified non-coding RNA (209 nucleotides) under Hevea brasiliensis (rubber tree). Lineage: Eukaryota; Viridiplantae; Streptophyta; Magnoliopsida; Malpighiales; Euphorbiaceae. The record is from RNAcentral.
CGAGUUGUUUUGCCUCGUUACGUCGUUCAUCGGUUCUGUUGGUUUUGCUCUGAAUUGCGCGAAAGCCAGGUCUAAGAGCGUGUUCUUCGCGGUGUUCGGUGACGGGAUUUUCGUUGGUGCAGUUUUAUUUCUGGUGGCUGGAGUUGCAAUUGGUGCUUGGAUUCGCAGGCGGCAGUGGAAUCGAAUUUUUCCAGAGACAGCGAAGGGCG